GAUGAACGCUGGCGGCGUGCCUAAUACAUGCAAGUCGAGCGAACGGACGAGAAGCUUGCUCCCCUGAUGUUAUCGGCGGACGGGUGAGCAACACGUGGAUAACCUACCUAUACGACUGGGAUAACUUCGGGAAACCGGAGCUACUACCGGAUAAUAUUUUGAACCGCAUGGUUCACACGUGGAAGACGGUCUUGCUGUCACUUAUAGAUGGAUCCGCGCUGCAUUAGUUAGUUGGUAAGGUAACGGCUUACCAAGGCAACGAUGCAUAGCCGACCUGAGAGGGAGAUCGGCCACACGGGAACUGAGACACGGUCCAGACUCCGACGGGAGGCAGCAGUAGGGAAUCUUCCGCAAUGGGCGAAAGCCGGACGGAGCAACGCCGCGUGAGUGAUGAAGGUCUUCGGAUCGUAAAGCUCUGUUAGUAGGGAAGAACAUAUGUGUAAGUAACUGUGCACAUCUUGGCGGUACCUAAACAGAAAGCCACGGCUAACUACGUG
This 497-nucleotide ribosomal RNA is filed under the name uncultured bacterium. Its description in RNAcentral is "partial 16S ribosomal RNA". It matches the Rfam family "Bacterial small subunit ribosomal RNA", at positions 28 to 507 of the family's 1533-position model. The record is from RNAcentral.